This 514-nucleotide long non-coding RNA is filed under the name Gossypium raimondii (Peruvian cotton). RNAcentral describes it as "long non-coding RNA (GRAI_LNC002784)". Lineage: Eukaryota; Viridiplantae; Streptophyta; Magnoliopsida; Malvales; Malvaceae. The record is from RNAcentral.
UUGGCCUGGUAUUUUGACUUUUCUUACGAUCUUCUUUAUUGCAUGUAAAAAUCUUUUCAAGGUUCAUUAAAUCUUAGUUAUUACGUUGAGUUUUCCCAUUUAAUCUUCUCUCGUCUUUGUUGAUUUUGCACAUAGUUACUAUUAGGGUUGGUUGGUAGUCUUUCUUUUUAUUUUUUUCUUCUUUUCUUUUUUGUCUUCUCUUCGACUGGUUAAUUGGGUUUUUCUGUUUUGAUCUCUUUAACUUAUUUUUUUCUCUAAGAACUGCUUGCUUUCUCUCUGCCGGUUUGUUCCGUGGCUUUCAUUGUAGGUGGCUUCUUUUCUUUCUCUGUUUUAACAUUUAUUUUUCCUAUUUUGUUUAACUAUUUUUUCUUUGUUUCUUUAGGGUUUCCUACCCGUUUUUUCUCUUAUUUUGCGAGACGAUCUUUUUUAUCAUUUUAUUCUUAUGUCAUUCAUAUUGACUGGUUUCUAUUGAUUUUGUUCUCAUUUAUCUUUUUUUUCUUCUUACUUUAUUUUC